Pangasianodon hypophthalmus (striped catfish) is the source of this 1709-nucleotide non-coding RNA. Lineage: Eukaryota; Metazoa; Chordata; Actinopteri; Siluriformes; Pangasiidae. The record is from the annotation of a RefSeq genome assembly.
CCCAGUGUUAGUCUCCAGAUCCACUGCAACCCUGACCAGGAUAAAGUGGUAACUGAAGAGAAAUGAAUGAACUGAGGGAUCUGCUCAGAAAACCUUCUAUUAGUGAACUGUGUAAUAUCAUCAUAAGAUUCAGCAGAGUCAACAGAAACACAUUGAACAACAACAAGCAUCAGAAACUGUAUUAUCAGCAUUUUAAUUCAUUACUUUCAUUAAUGGAUUGUUACACCACAUAUGUAAUAUCAGAUGAAAUGAGGUUUGAGUUUACAAUAUUAUAAGUGGAAGUAGUGAUGAAAGAAUUUACAUGACUACGUGUAAUUAUAAGUGGGUGGAGCUAGAUGUGUAAGAUACAGUUUAGACAGUUUCACAGAGACAACACUGCCAUUCAUAUCUACUGCAAGAGAGACACUCACAACAACCAUGUUACUCUUCCUCUCUGUUUUCAUAGCUCUUACUGAUGUUGCAGAGGCUGUAGAUGAGCUCAUUAAACCAGACCAAACCAUCAUACCUUCACGUGAAGGCAGCAGCACCACACUGACCUGCACAUAUGAUGACUCGGCUUACUAUCUCCACUGGUAUCGACAAAACCCUCAAUCAGGACCAGAGUUUCUGAUGAUGAUUCAAAAAUUCACAGAAGCUGUGACUAAAGCUGAACACCUUGACCCAAGACUAUCCACCAGACUCCAUAAAAAGGAAAAGAAAGUAGAUCUGGAGAUCUUUCCUGCUGCAGUAUCAGACUCUGCACUGUACUACUGCGCCAUGGAGCCCACAGUGACACAAAACUCAAACACACUGUACAAAAAGUGAAGCUGGAUUUUCUCUCAGGAGGGGGAGCUGUUUACCUGCUUCAUUCAAAUACACUUUUCUUUCUUACUUCCCACACUUUCAUAUUUACUUGCCUUUGAAUAACAACAAUCACCUAAUUCCAUCAUUUCUAGAUGGGAAAAUAGCUGCAUAAGACAUAUAAAUAAGUUUAAAAGCAAUUAUGCACACUGUUUUCAGUGAAUUGGCACAGAUACACAGCUAUGCAGCGUCUGGUCACUAGGUCAAAAUCUUCAUCCUCAUAAUCAUCCAUGUUUGCAGUCUGUGGCCACAGUAUUCUUUCUGGAACAUUCUGCAAAUAAAAAAACGAGGAAUUUCUGUACAAAACUACAGCUGUUAUGUGUAAGGAUUGGGAAUUUGACCUUCUAGGCUGCUUGUGAAACAACAUUUUGUAAAAUUGAUUCCCACAGCUACAAGAGGAAGGUAAUAGACAUUCAGAGUGCACAACACAUUGAACCUUGAGGUGGAUGAGCUACAACAGCAGAAGAGCACAUCAGGUUCCACUCCUGUCAGCCAAGAACAGGAAUCUGAGGCUACAGUGGGGACAGGCUCACUGACACUGUACAGCUGAAGAUUUACAGAAAGACCAGGUAAAGAUUAGCUAAUCUUCUACUUAUAAUCAUUACUAUGUUGACAUCACAUGAAGCAGAACUAAAUGUUCUGAGAUGUCUGAAUUUUGUAGUAAUAAUUUGGUAGAGAGAGAAAGACAGAGACAGAGAGAGAGAGAGAGACAGAGUUCAGACAUUCAGAGCUAUUAAAUGUUUAAUCAAUCAGUCUUAAAGGACACACCUGGGCAACAAGAAACACCUGUCAGUCGCAUGGUCCAAAUUUGUGAUCACUUGAAAAAUGGGUGGCUUCUAACAAAAGGUUAAAUGAUUUUUUUCUUCAUA